UAUUUUCUUGUUCACACAUUCCAAUCAACUUUAAUUUUCUUUUUCUUCUAUUUUCUUCUCUGUUCUCUCUCCGUCUCUCCCUCCCAUAACCCUUUUCUUCUCGAUCUGGAGCAAGAAGCAGAAACAACUCGAGUUUCAUCCUCGGUCUCAAUCCAUCGUCUCUUGCUUCCUGAAGAUGUUACGGCGAGGCCGAUCCCCAUGUCAAGUCACUGUUCUCUUGCAUCAAGCAGAAGAAGAAGAGGCUGACUAGCUCUCUGUCAAAAUUUCACAGAUUUUCUUCACAUUGAAAAUCCCUAUGUGAUUGGGUCUAUUUGAUAUCUCAUUGAAAAUCCUCGACCUCAACUCCUCAAUCCUCACUAGCGGCGCCAUCUUAUCUUCUUAAUUCCUGUUUUUCGACUUCAGAGAUUGAAGAAGACUCGGUGUUCUUUUCUCCUCCAUAGCCAAGGUCCAGAUCGAUGGCCAAGGUCCAGAUCGGUUGAUGUAAUUAUUUCCUCUUCUUUGGGUUAUCGGAUUUAAACGAAAUCCGAGUAUGGUGCCAUGGUGGUUGAAGUCUGAGCACGAUCUCCGCCGCCACAGCAAGGACUAGAUCGAUUUAUUUUUCUGAGAUAUUGGGUAUGAUGAUGCAUGAAGACUCGUACUUGAUCUUCUGGGAUAGUUUCUUUGCCUAGUUUUUGUUGGGAUGGGGAAAUUACGAUUGGGGCUGGAUUGGCUUCAUACCCAGUUGACACAGUGCGCAAAAGGGUGAUGAUGAUGUUUGAUAUUUAAUUUCAUAUUAUUUCGCUGUCUGGGAAUGCCUGAAAAAUCGUAGCUUUGAGAUAGACGAAAAUUUCAUGCUUUAGGCAAGAGGAGUUCUCUUCAGAAACCCUGAAAGCUGAGUACAUUGGACACUUGGUGCCAGAGGAAGUAGUCAAGCUGGAAUUUGAUGGUUCGAAGGAGGUCAAAAGGGACUGGGGAUUAACUCUUAAAGAGGUCAUAUUUCCUUGUUUUACCAAGUUUCAUGUUUGUGCUAUUUUCUUAAUCGUUGAAUGUCCAGUGGCUGCUGUUGAAUAAAAGAACUGAAUAUUAAAUAGCUUGUUUAGGUAGAGAGAAUUUUGUAUGACAUAUGAUUGAGAUUAUUAGGUAUGAUGAAUUGGGUUGAAGGUUGGGUUUUGGAACUGGACGGAGGUGCUGAUCAAAAGAUAGAAGGCAAUAAUGCUAGUGCUGAUGAUGCAAUCAUGCUUGACAAGGAUGACUAUGUAUCUGAAACAAAUGCUACGAACAUUCUGCUGGUAAAUAUCCUUACUUUCCUGGCCAAGAACCCACUUUGCCUGGGGAUAUCGAUUUGUUGCUUCAGGUAGAAGUACACAUAUUUCAAGUGUAGUUGCCCUUUGAGAAAUUGGUGAAUACAGCAUGCUAUAAAUGUCAAGAGCAGUUGCUAUUCUCCAUUCCAUAUACUCUGGUUUAGCUAGUCUAAAGCAACCUGUGUUAUCUUUUUUUUUUCCCCUAAGCUUACUUGUUUGAGAAUUUAUUAAUAAAAUUUACAAUGACGGAAGUAUUGUAGAUUGGAUAUUUUUGAUUUUAUUAAUUCAGAGUUACAUAGUAAUAGAAUUUUAUCAUAGUGAGGUGUAA
This is a long non-coding RNA of Rosa rugosa (rugosa rose), 1608 nucleotides long. RefSeq lists it as uncharacterized. The record is from RefSeq and is a predicted model, not a curated record. The transcript has 6 exons. NCBI's taxonomy places the organism in Eukaryota, Viridiplantae, Streptophyta, Magnoliopsida, Rosales, Rosaceae.